UGGGGUCUAGCCAAGCGGUAAGGCACCGGAUUCUGAUUCCGGCAUUCCGAGGUUCGAAUCCUCGUACCCCAGCCA
Molecule: transfer RNA, 75 nt
Filed under: Enterobacter cloacae
Lineage: Bacteria; Pseudomonadati; Pseudomonadota; Gammaproteobacteria; Enterobacterales; Enterobacteriaceae
Description: tRNA-Gln
Rfam family: tRNA
About the family: Transfer RNA (tRNA) molecules are approximately 80 nucleotides in length. Their secondary structure includes four short double-helical elements and three loops (D, anti-codon, and T loops).
Source: RNAcentral